This is a non-coding RNA of Coffea arabica (coffee), 2177 nucleotides long. The record is from RefSeq and is a predicted model, not a curated record. NCBI's taxonomy places the organism in Eukaryota, Viridiplantae, Streptophyta, Magnoliopsida, Gentianales, Rubiaceae.
UUUGCCUCCCAGUGAAAUUUUGCUUCUUCUUUAUCUCUCGCACAAAGUCUCUCUCUCGGCAAACUGUCUCUCAAAACUCUUGGCCAAAAUUUUGCUUUCCCGCAGAGUUUUUCCUGUUGAAUCUCUCCGCAAUCAAACUACCCUUACUUUCCCAUUGAAGGUUUAGGUUCGUCAAAACCAGAAAAUGGAACAACAUGACAUUGAAGAGGACGAGUUCGGAUUCUCCAGAAAUUAUUUCUUAGCAAACGAAUUAGGCAAUUCCGGUAAGAAAUCCAGCCGCAUGCUCGCAGAUAUCGAUGUCGUCGAUGAACAGGAGCUAAGGGAAGCCCUCGCCCAUCUCCCCAACAUUUCUAAUUUCCAAAUUGGUGUCCGACGAAAAUUAGGGCUCUGAGUCUGAGAGAGACCCUAGAUUUGGGGCAGUUAUUCUUUCUUCGAUUUCAACGAUUAGCAGCAAAUGUCGCCUCCUCCUGGACCCUACUCCGGCACCAGCACUCUCGCCUUGGUGGCUCGUGCUUCAGCCUUCAUGUUUGGAGUCGUCUAUGGAAAUCUGAAGCUUAAGUAUCUUAAGAGGAAAGCUUUCAAUGGAGAGCUCUGAUGAUGGAAAGAAUGGUCCUCUGGAUGCCAGGGAGCAUUCUCUAACAUCUGAUGGCAAAAAAUCCAUAAACGAAGUUCUUAAUGGUCCAAAUGGCCUUUGCUCGUAGAACUUACACAUGGAUAGGCACAUGUUUUAUGUAUUGUGUGACAUGUUACAAGCCAGAGGCCUCUUAUGUCACACAAUUAGAAUAAAGAUUGAGGAGCAGGCAGUGAUUGAUCAUGUUUAUAGUUGGGCACAGGAUAUGUACUCGAGCAGUUCAAGAGCUAUUUGGAUACUCAGGCGAAACCAUUAGCUGCCAUUUCAACAAUGUUCUAACAACAAUUAUGGCAAUUUCACGGGAUGUUUUUCCACCUCCUAGGCCUGAUGUUCCACCAGAAUUUGUGAAGAUCCUCAAUUUAUCCUCAUUUUCAGUAGGAUUGGAUGAGCAAGUUCCUUUCUGGAACAAGAGUGGUUUUCUUUCACAAAAUGUACGGGCUGUAUGCUCCUUCAGUAUGAAAUUUCACUAUGUUCUUGCUGGUUGGGAAGGUUCCAUCAAAAUGUACAAUCAGCACUAGUGCAAAACUUCACCAGUUAAAACUAGCAACUUCAAAGAACUACGAAGUCCCAUAUAAUGUGGACCUUGCAAAGGAAGGAGGACUGCUCUCAAUAGUGAUGGAACUGCAAGUAGGAAAUUGCAGUACAUAGUUAUGUCCAAUAUCUAUAAUUUUUUCCAUCGCAUUUGAUAGACCAAAGGCUAUAUUUCUAGCAUGACAUGAUUUCCAGUAGGUUGAAUUGCUUGAACGCAAACUAUUUCCUGGGGUGUUAUUAUAUUAUUAUUGUUGCAAUUUUUUUCCUAUCAUUUUCCAAUCUCAAAUGCUCAAGAAUUGGAAAAAAAAUUUCUGUUUCCCCAGAUCACUGGAUACACUUUUCUUCAUCCCUUCAAUUUCUCGGCUGUUUUCUCUUCUUCUGAAGGAUUGGCACUAACCUCUACUAAAGCAUAGCCGGACUGCUCCACCUAGAGAUGGCUGAAGGAAGUGGAAAUGAGGAGACAACUCUUGAGCAUACAUCAACAUGGGCAGUGGUAGUUGUUUGUUUCAUCUUGAUUGCUGUUUCCAUACUUAUUGAACAUGGUCUUCAUCUUCUGGCUAAGUGUUUGGACAGGUGGGAGUAUAUUGGCGGCACUUGGUUCCUUUCAGCAAAUGUGGUUUUCAAAAUCUGAGUUUGAGGAACAUGGAACUUCUUAUGUUCAAAGAAAAUGCCCGUAAAGUACUUUACUGGUGCAAACAAUUAUCACAUUAGACAGAAAUUCAUGGAGCUGACUUCACUUUGAUUAGUUUGCUGACGGUAUGGGUUGCUCGGUUUUAAUAUCCUGCUUUAUAGGAGCCCAAACAAUGUACUAUAUAUAUACUAUACCUCUCGCGGAUCGUUGCUAAUAUUGUACAAUUACGUUACCUGACUUUUAGCAUUUCUUUCAACUUGUUAGGGAUGAGAGUCUUUUUGUUUGUGCACAAGAAAGUCUUUCAAGUUAUUGUAAAUGAGAAUCUUUCGGUACUUUAUUGGGAUUUUAGUACUUGCUUUGAGCACUUGUUUGCGAUUUUAGUAA